AGAGUUUGAUCCUGGCUCAGAACGAACGCUGGCGGCAUGCCUUAUACAUGCAAGUCGAACGAGAAAGUCACUUCGGUGGCGAGUACAGUGGCGCACGGGUGAGUAACGCGUAGAUGAUCUACCCUUCAGUCUGGGACAACUCUUGGAAACGGGAGCUAAUACCGGAUAAAACCUUCGGGUUGAAAGAUUUAUCGCUGGGGGAUGAGUCUGCGUACCAUUAGCUUGUUGGUGGGGUAACGGCCUACCAAGGCGACGAUGGUUAGCGGGUCUGAGAGGACGAUCCGCCACACUGGAACUGAGACACGGUCCAGACUCCUACGGGAGGCAGCAGUAGGGAAUAUUGCGCAAUGGGGGCAACCCUGACGCAGCAAUGCCGCGUGAGUGAAGAAGGCCUUCGGGUCGUAAAGCUCUUUUAUGGGGGAAGAUGAUGACGGUACCCCAUGAAUAAGCACCGGCUAACUAUGUGCCAGCAGCCGCGGUAAUACGUAGGGUGCGAGCGUUGUUCGGAAUUACUGGGCGUAAAGGGCGUGCAGGCGGAUUGGCAAGCCGGAGGUGAAAGCCCGGGGCUCAACCCCGGAGGGUCUUUCGGAACUGCCAGUCUUGAGAGGGUCAGGGGCCAGCGGAAUUCCUGGUGUAGAGGUGAAAUUCGUAGAGAUCAGGAGGAACACCGGCGGCGAAGGCGGCUGGCUGGGGCCACUCUGACGCUGAGGCGCGAAAGCGUGGGGAGCAAACAGGAUUAGAUACCCUGGUAGUCCACGCCGUAAACGAUGGGCACUAAGCGUCCGACGGGUUCGACCCUGUUGGGUGCUGCAGUUAACGCGUUAAGUGCCCCGCCUGGGGAGUACGGUCGCAAGACUAAAACUCAAAGGAAUUGAC
RNAcentral lists this ribosomal RNA (876 nucleotides) under marine metagenome. RNAcentral's name for it is "bacterial SSU rRNA". It matches the Rfam family "Bacterial small subunit ribosomal RNA", at positions 8 to 914 of the family's 1533-position model. The record is from RNAcentral.